This 308-nucleotide unclassified non-coding RNA is filed under the name Hevea brasiliensis (rubber tree). The record is from RNAcentral. Lineage: Eukaryota; Viridiplantae; Streptophyta; Magnoliopsida; Malpighiales; Euphorbiaceae.
CUUAACUGGAAUCUGUGCAUUGGAUUUGCUAAUUGAGUUCGAUUCAGCAACAGGUUGGUUCACAUUCUUAAAACUUCUGUUUUUGACCAGCUCAGAUGGCAAGUUUGAGUUUGUGGUCAACAUUGGACCAUGAUUGCUGCUUGUGUUUUUAUGUUUCUUCUUUCCUCCAUUAGCCAUGUAAUCGAAACCCGCGUUCUGACUGCUACCACCGAGACCAUGCAUAUCAGCUGAAACUACUCCUACCGCACUUCUACCAGUAUGAUUUUGAAGGCUAUUUAGGUUAUCAGGCAGGGGCAUUUGGUAUAAGG